GACGAACGCUGGCGGCGUGCUUAACACAUGCAAGUCGAACGGUAAGGCCCUUCGGGGUACACGAGUGGCGAACGGGUGAGUAACACGUGGGUGAUCUGCCCUGCACUUCGGGAUAAGCCUGGGAAACUGGGUCUAAUACCGGAUAGGACCACUGCCUGCAUGGGUGGUGGUGGAAAGCUUUUGCGGUGUGGGAUGGGCCCGCGUCCUAUCAGCUUGUUGGGGGGGUGAUGGCCUACCCAGGCGACGACGGGUAGCCGGCCGGAGAGGGUGACCGGCCACACUGGGACUGAGAUACGGCCCAGACUCCUACGGGAGGCAGCAGUGGGGAAUAUUGCUCAAUGGGCGCAAGCCUGAUGCAGCGACGCCGCGUGAGGGAUGACGGCCCUCGGGUUGUAAACCUCUUUCAGCACCGACGAAGCGCAAGUGACGGUAGGUGCAGAAGAAGGACCGGCCAACUACGUGCCAGCAGCCGCGGUAA
This 478-nucleotide ribosomal RNA is filed under the name uncultured bacterium. RNAcentral describes it as "partial 16S ribosomal RNA". It matches the Rfam family "Bacterial small subunit ribosomal RNA", at positions 28 to 523 of the family's 1533-position model. The record is from RNAcentral.